This 20-nucleotide unclassified non-coding RNA is filed under the name Mus musculus (house mouse). RNAcentral's name for it is "oocyte_clustered_small_RNA7217". Lineage: Eukaryota; Metazoa; Chordata; Mammalia; Rodentia; Muridae. The record is from RNAcentral.
GGGUCAGUGUCUAGGUGUCC